RNAcentral lists this ribosomal RNA (497 nucleotides) under uncultured bacterium. RNAcentral's name for it is "partial 16S ribosomal RNA". It matches the Rfam family "Bacterial small subunit ribosomal RNA", at positions 28 to 507 of the family's 1533-position model. The record is from RNAcentral.
GAUGAACGCUGGCGGCGUGCCUAAUACAUGCAAGUCGAGCGAACGGACGAGAAGCUUGCUUCUCUGAUGUUAGCGGCGGACGGGUGAGUAACACGUGGAUAACCUACCUAUAAGACUGGGAUAACUUCGGGAAACCGGAGCUAAUACCGGAUGAUAUUUUGAACCGCAUGGUUCAAAAGUGAAAGACGGUCUUGCUGUCACUUAUAGAUGGAUCCGCGCUGCAUUAGCUAGUUGGUAAGGUAACGGCUUACCAAGGCAACGAUGCAUAGCCGACCUGAGAGGGUGAUCGGCCACACUGGAACUGAGACACGGUCCAGACUCCUACGGGAGGCAGCAGUAGGGAAUCUUACGCGAUGGGCGAAAGCCUGACGGAGCAACGCCGCGUGAGUGAUGAAGGUCUUCGGAUCGUAAAACUCUGUUAUUAGGGAAGAACAUAUGUGUAAGUAACUGUGCACAUCUUGACGGUACCUAAUCAGAAAGCCACGGCUAACUACGUG